AUUGAACGCUGGCGGCAGGCCUAACACAUGCAAGUCGAGCGGAUGAGGGGAGCUUGCUUCCUGAUUCAGCGGCGGACGGGUGAGUAAUGCCUAGGAAUCUGCCUGGUAGUGGGGGACAACGUUUCGAAAGGAACGCUAAUACCGCAUACGUCCUACGGGAGAAAGUGGGGGAUCUUCGGACCUCACGCUAUCGGAUGAGCCUAGGUCGGAUUAGCUAGUUGGUGGGGUAAAGGCUCACCAAGGCGACGAUCCGUAACUGGUCUGAGAGGAUGAUCAGUCACACUGGAACUGAGACACGGUCCAGACUCCUACGGGAGGCAGCAGUGGGGAAUAUUGGACAAUGGGCGAAAGCCUGAUCCAGCCAUGCCGCGUGUGUGAAGAAGGUCUUCGGAUUGUAAAGCACUUUAAGUCGGGAGGAAGGGCUGCAGGUUAAUACCUUGCAGCCUUGACGUUACCGACAGAAUAAGCACCGGCUAACUUCGUGCCAGCCGCCGCCGUAA
Molecule: ribosomal RNA, 500 nt
Filed under: uncultured bacterium
Lineage: Bacteria
Description: partial 16S ribosomal RNA
Rfam family: Bacterial small subunit ribosomal RNA
Source: RNAcentral